This 421-nucleotide unclassified non-coding RNA is filed under the name fungal sp. Its description in RNAcentral is "partial internal transcribed spacer region". The stretch from base 1 to 46 matches the Rfam family "Eukaryotic small subunit ribosomal RNA", at positions 1786 to 1831 of the family's 1831-position model. The record is from RNAcentral. Lineage: Eukaryota; Fungi.
AAGUCGUAACAAGGUCUCCGUAGGUGAACCUGCGGAGGGAUCAUUAACACUUUAAAAACAAAAACAAAAACAACCCGGUAACCCCAAAAAAAUGCUAGACUUGUCUGUCUGUUGAGUUCAAAAAGCAUUUUUUUCUAGUUUUAGAUUCGAGAUCUUAGAAUUUUAUUCUAAUUGAGCUCUCUAGAACUAGAAGAAGUAUUUUUGAAUUUCCUUUCACAUUUCUAGCAGUUUUUUAUUCUAUUCACUCGUCUCGUUUUUUUCUUUAUCUCUUUUAGAGGAAUUGAAUAAAAACAAACCAAGUGUAUAGUAUAAGAAUUCUAUACUAUUUGUACUAAAUCGUCUAGCUUUAUUUUCGAAUAACUCUAGACAAAACCUAAAUAAACAUUAAGCACAACUCUUAACAAUGGAUAUCUAGGCUCUC